Molecule: non-coding RNA, 815 nt
Organism: Pelobates cultripes (western spadefoot toad)
Lineage: Eukaryota; Metazoa; Chordata; Amphibia; Anura; Pelobatidae
Source: the annotation of a GenBank genome assembly
CUAGCUCUGGGUGUAGAAUUGUAUUGUGUGUAUAUAAGGUAUAGAGGCAAUGUGUUUCUGUCUGAAUGAGUGUGUAGUGUUUGUAUAGUUUUUGUGUGUGUGUUUAGCAAUAUGUGAUUGUGUGUAUACAUUGUCUAAGUGUCUGUACAGUACUCUGUGCAUACUGUGAAUCUGUGUCUGAUCAUGCACAAGUCUAAUAAUUCUGUCCACUCUUUCUCUAAGUCACAACUGGCUCUCUUAAAUGUGGCGCACAUUUUUUUUCAACCCUUCUCAUUUAGGGGUUAACAGAUUUACUAAUUAGCUACUACUUACAGUACAUAAUAAAUAAAUGUUUCUGAAUAUUUAUAUUUAUUUAUGUCCCUAACUGUCCCAUCUUCAUAAUUUAGCAGCUCUCCUCUCCCUCUAUAAACCCUCCAUGCACAGAGACCUGGCUUUUUACUUAGAGAUUUAUCUCUCUGUGUCAGUUUGUGGAGGGGGAGGAGGGAGUGAAGUCUGCUGACUGCAGAGCUGUAAACUACUGCUCUGCCUAUUAACCACUUCAGUGAUGGGAAUGUGGGCAGCUACAGCACAUUCAGAGAGCAGAACAGAGCACGCCUCAAUGUGCACAGAGUGAGGGUGGAAACAGGAGGAGAAAAACAAAUGGUCUGAGAAUAUUAUUAUUAUUAUUAUUUAUAUAGCGCCAUCAGAUUCCGUAGCGCUGUACAAUGGUUAUCUCGCAGAUCUGCAAGAAUGUAUCUCUCCUACUCUCAGAGUUCAAUCGGACAAAAAAUAACAGCCCUGGCAUUUGCUAGAAUGGCCGCCAUGAUACUCAGGUC